GGGCGGAACGGGUGAGUAACGACGGUGGGGAAUCUGCCUAGUAAGGUGGGGGAUAACAUUCGGAAACGGAUGCAAUACCGCAUAUAUUCAAAAACCGCAUGGUUCUGAAAGAAAGACGGCUUUGCUGUCGCUUAUAGGUGAUCCCGCGGCGUAUUAGUUAGUUGGUGGGGUAAUGGCCUACCAAGACCAUGAUACGUAGCCGACCUGAGAGGGUGAUCGGCCACACUGGGACUGAGACACGGCCCAGACUCCUACGGGAGGCAGCAGUAGGGAAUCUUCCACAAUGGGUGCAAACCUGAUGGAGCAAUGCCGCCGUGAAUGAAGAAGGUCUUCGGAUCGUAAAGUUCUGUUAUUAGAGAAGAACAAGUCAAGGAGUAACUGUCUUGACUUUGACGGUACCUAACCAGAAAGUCACGGCUAACUACGUGCCAGCCGCCGC
RNAcentral lists this ribosomal RNA (439 nucleotides) under uncultured bacterium. Its description in RNAcentral is "bacterial SSU rRNA". It matches the Rfam family "Bacterial small subunit ribosomal RNA", at positions 95 to 518 of the family's 1533-position model. The record is from RNAcentral.